GACCUCGGAUCAGGUAGGGAUACCCGCUGAACUUAAGCAUAUCAAUAAGCGGAGGAAAAGAAACCAACAGGGAUUGCCUCAGUAACGGCGAGUGAAGCGGCAACAGCUCAAAUUUGAAAUCUGGCCUUAAGCGGGGUCCGAAUUGUAAUUUGCAGAGGGCGUUUCGGGCGACGCGCCGGUCUAAGUCCCUUGGAACGGGGCGUCAUAGAGGGUGAGAAUCCCGUAUGUGACCGGCGACCGAGCCUGUGUGAAACCCCUUCGACGAGUCGAGUUGUUUGGGAAUGCAGCUCAAAGCGGGUGGUAAAUUUCAUCUAAAGCUAAAUACCGGCCAGAGACCGAUAGCGCACAAGUAGAGUGAUCGAAAGAUGAAAAGCACUUUGGAAAGAGAGUCAAAAAGUACGUGAAAUUGUUGAAAGGGAAGCGCUUGCAACCAGACCUGCCCGCGGGUGAUCAGCCGUCCUUCGGGGCGGUGCACUCACCCGCGAUCAGGCCAGCAUCGGUUCGGGCGGCCGGAUAAAGGCCUUGGGAACGUGGCUCCCCUCGGGGAGCGUUAUAGCCCAGGGUGCAAUGCGGCCCGCCCGGACCGAGGACCGCGCUUCGGCUAGGAUGCUGGCGUAAUGGUUGUAAGCGGCCCGUCUUGAAACACGGACCAAGGAGUCGACCAACCGUGCGAGUGUUUGGGCGUCAAACCCACACGCGCAAUGAAAGUGAACGGAGGUGGGAACCCCUCGCGGGGCGCACCAUCGACCGAUCCAGAUGUCUUCGGAUGGAUUUGAGUACGAGCAUGGCUGGUCGGACCCGAAAGAUGGUGAACUAUGCCUGGAUAGGGUGAAGCCAGAGGAAACUCUGGUGGAGGCUCGCAGCGGUUCUGACGUGCAAAUCGAUCGUCAAAUUUGGGCAUAGGGGCGAAAGACUAAUCGAACCAUCUAGUAGCUGGUUCCAGCCGAA
Molecule: ribosomal RNA, 948 nt
Filed under: Xanthoria parietina
Lineage: Eukaryota; Fungi; Ascomycota; Lecanoromycetes; Teloschistales; Teloschistaceae
Description: partial large subunit ribosomal RNA
Rfam family: Eukaryotic large subunit ribosomal RNA
Source: RNAcentral